GCCGACGUAGCUCAGUUGGCCAGAGCAUCGCACUUGUAAUGCGAGGGUCGUGGGUUCGAAUCCCACCGUCGGCU
RNAcentral lists this transfer RNA (74 nucleotides) under Vulcanimicrobiota bacterium. Its description in RNAcentral is "tRNA-Thr". It matches the Rfam family "tRNA". Rfam says of the family: Transfer RNA (tRNA) molecules are approximately 80 nucleotides in length. Their secondary structure includes four short double-helical elements and three loops (D, anti-codon, and T loops). The record is from RNAcentral. Lineage: Bacteria; Bacillati; Vulcanimicrobiota.